This is a long non-coding RNA of Passer montanus (Eurasian tree sparrow), 1411 nucleotides long. RefSeq lists it as uncharacterized. The record is from RefSeq and is a predicted model, not a curated record. NCBI's taxonomy places the organism in Eukaryota, Metazoa, Chordata, Aves, Passeriformes, Passeridae. The transcript is spliced from 2 exons.
GGAUUUUGGGGAUAAUUUGGGGGUUUUUGGUGCCUCCAGGACCAUCUGCUCCUCCCAGCCCGGAGCCACAACAAAACCUCGAGGCCCAAAAUGUCCCUGGUGAUGCCAGCGGCGGCUCUCAACGAGUCGCUGCGCGGCCCCCAGCCCAUGAUGCAGGUGGACUGCGAGGUCAUGGACACGCGUGUCAUCCACGUGCGCCGCCCGGCCACGCCCCCCGCGCGGGCCACGCCCCCCGCGCGGGCCACGCCCACCCGCAGAGCCCGCCCAAUCAGCCUGGGGGGAGACGGCGCCUGAGCCACGCCCACUUCCGGGACAAGACACGCCCCCUUCGCAAAGCAAGCAGGAUGAGGCCACGCCCACCCGGUGGGAUCGAGAGUUUAAGCCACGCCCCCUUUAAAAAAGUUGUUUAGGCCACGCCCCUUAAAACCCAAAUAUUUGAGGCCACGCCCCCUUAAGCCCCAAAUAUCAGAGGCCACGCCCCCUCUAAAACUCGUGUUUGAGGCCACGCCCCUUUUUAACUACAUGCUUGAGGCCACGCCCACCCGGUGGGAUUGAGACUUUAAGCCACGCCCCCUCUGAAACAAUGUGUUUUAGGCCACGCCCCCUUUAAAGCUACAUGUUUGAGGCCACGCCCACUCAGUGAGAUCGAGUUUAAGCCACGCCCCCUUUAAAGCAAUGUGUCUGAAGCCACACCCCCUUAAAACCCAAAUGUUUUAAGCCACGCCCCCUUCACACCCGUGUGUCUGAGGCCACGCCCCUCAACAGGAUUGCGUUUAAGCCCCGCCCCUUUUAAAGCCAGGAGCUUGAGGCCACGCCCCUUCAUUAAAUUGAGAUUGAGCCACGCCCCCUUCACACCCAUGUGGUUGAGGCCACGCCCCCUUAUAAAUGUUUGCGUUGCGAGGCCACGCCCACUUGGAAUCAAGUGUUUAAGCCACACCCCUUUUGAAAGGAGUCUGAGGCCACGCCCCUUAGAAUCAAUUUUAUUUGAAGCCACGCCCAUUUAAAUCUGCAUGUCUGAGGCCACGCCCCCUUAUUUAAAAGCGGAUUUCUUUAGGCCACGCCCCCUGCCUAAAAAGCAUUGUUCAGGGCCUUGCCCUUCUAGUAAUUUGCAUAUUUAAGCCACACCCUUUAAAUAGGUUUUCUGUCAUAAUAAUCUUUAAGCCCCGCCCAGAUUUGCAUUAGGCCACGCCCCCUAUUAAAACGGCAAUAUUGAGGCCACGCCCCUCAAGGGAAUUGAGCCAAGCCACGCCUACUGUGAAGCCCCACCUCCUUUGCAUAUGUGGGCGUGGUUAGUUGUGAGGCCACGCCUCUUCUUAAAGGGGCGGUGCCUUUUUCUGCCCCGCCCCCAGCAGCGUUUUUUACCCAAGUCAAUAAAAAAUUGGGGGAAAAUCCCAAAAAAUAUUUAAAAAAA